This 404-nucleotide ribosomal RNA is filed under the name uncultured bacterium. Its description in RNAcentral is "bacterial SSU rRNA". It matches the Rfam family "Bacterial small subunit ribosomal RNA", at positions 107 to 518 of the family's 1533-position model. The record is from RNAcentral.
GGAGUAACGACGUGAGGCAACCUGUCCUUCACAGGGGAUAACACAGCGAAAGUUGUACUAAUACCGCAUAAGACCACACCGGGACAUCCCGGAGGGGGUCAAAGGAGCAAUCCGGUGAAGGGUGGGCUCGCGUCCGAUUAGAUAGUUGGUGAGGUAACGGCCCACCAAGUCGACGAUCGGUAGCCGACCUGAGAGGGUGAUCGGCCACAUUGGGACUGAGACACGGCCCAAACUCCUACGGGAGGCAGCAGUGGGGAAUAUUGGGCAAUGGGGGGAAAAACCCCCUGACCCAGCAACGCCGCGUGAGGGAAGAAGGUUUUCGGAUCGUAAACCUCUGUCCUUGGUGAAGAGAGAGAGACGGUAGCCAAGGAGGAAGCCCCGGCUAACUACGUGCCAGCCGCCGC